GAUGAACGCUGGCGGCGUGCCUAAUACAUGCAAGUCGAGCGAACAGAUGAGGAGCUUGCUCCUCUGACGUUAGCGGCGGACGGGUGAGUAACACGUGGAUAACCUACCUAUAAGACUGGGAUAACUUCGGGAAACCGGAGCUAAUACCGGAUAAUAUAUUGAACCGCAUGGUUCUAUAGUGAAAGACGGUUUUGCUGUCACUUAUAGAUGGAUCCGCGCCGCAUUAGCUAGUUGGUAAGGUAACGGCUUACCAAGGCAACGAUGCGUAGCCGACCUGAGAGGGUGAUCGGCCACACUGGGACUGAGACACGGUCCAGACUCCUACGGGAGGCAGCAGUAGGGAAUCUUCCGCAAUGGGCGAAAGCCUGACGGAGCAACGCCGCGUGAGUGAUGAAGGUCUUCGGAUCGUAAAACUCUGUUAUUAGGGAAGAACAAAUGUGUAAGUAACUAUGCACGUCUUGACGGUACCUAAUCAGAAAGCCACGGCUAACUACGUG
Molecule: ribosomal RNA, 497 nt
Filed under: uncultured bacterium
Lineage: Bacteria
Description: partial 16S ribosomal RNA
Rfam family: Bacterial small subunit ribosomal RNA
Source: RNAcentral